AGAGUUUGAUCCUGGCUCAGGACGAACGCUGGCGGCGCGCCUAAUACAUGCAAGUCGAGCGGACAGAAGGGAGCUUGCUCCCGGAUGUUAGCGGCGGACGGGUGAGUAACACGUGGGUAACCUGCCUGUAAGACUGGGAUAACUCCGGGAAACCGGAGCUAAUACCGGAUAGUUCCUUGAACCGCAUGGUUCAAGGAUGAAAGACGGUUUCGGCUGUCACUUACAGAUGGACCCGCGGCGCAUUAGCUAGUUGGUGGGGUAAUGGCUCACCAAGGCGACGAUGCGUAGCCGACCUGAGAGGGUGAUCGGCCACACUGGGACUGAGACACGGCCCAGACUCCUACGGGAGGCAGCAGUAGGGAAUCUUCCGCAAUGGACGAAAGUCUGACGGAGCAACGCCGCGUGAGUGAUGAAGGUUUUCGGAUCGUAAAGCUCUGUUGUUAGGGAAGAACAAGUGCGAGAGUAACUGCUCGCACCUUGACGGUACCUAACCAGAAAGCCACGGCUAACUACGUGCCAGCAGCCGCGGUAAUACGUAGGUGGCAAGCGUUGUCCGGAAUUAUUGGGCGUAAAGGGCUCGCAGCGGUUUCUUAAGUCUGAUGUGAAAGCCCCCGGCUCAACCGGGGAGGGUCAUUGGAAACUGGGAAACUUGAGUGCAGAAGAGGAGAGUGG
RNAcentral lists this ribosomal RNA (672 nucleotides) under Bacillus sp. SC18(2010b). RNAcentral's name for it is "bacterial SSU rRNA". It matches the Rfam family "Bacterial small subunit ribosomal RNA", at positions 8 to 664 of the family's 1533-position model. The record is from RNAcentral. Lineage: Bacteria; Bacillati; Bacillota; Bacilli; Caryophanales; Bacillaceae.